Molecule: non-coding RNA, 222 nt
Filed under: Phyllobacterium sp. YR531
Lineage: Bacteria; Pseudomonadati; Pseudomonadota; Alphaproteobacteria; Hyphomicrobiales; Phyllobacteriaceae
Also listed under: 1 other name
Source: RNAcentral
ACUAUAUAUAGUGUUCGAGGUUCUUUCGAUUCGCAAGACUGGGAAGCUAAGACGGGAAUUUGGUGAGUGGUGCCUUUUAAGGGCGCCGUAAUGCCGGAGCUGCCCCCGCAACUGUAAGCGGCGAGUAUUCAUUCGACAAUGCCACUGGCGCGAUAUGCCGGGAAGGUAGAAUGGGUGCAAUGAUCCGCAAGCCAGGAGACCUGCCUCGAUCGAACAAGUCCA